This is a long non-coding RNA of Gossypium arboreum, 385 nucleotides long. RefSeq lists it as uncharacterized. NCBI's taxonomy places the organism in Eukaryota, Viridiplantae, Streptophyta, Magnoliopsida, Malvales, Malvaceae. The record is from RefSeq and is a predicted model, not a curated record. The transcript has 2 exons.
GAAAUGGUUAAUGUAGUGGGAUUUCUCCAUCAAUAUUUUUCUUUUUCUUUAUACAGUUGGGGUUGCCUGGAUAAACAUCUUCAAACACAGUAUCGCAAAGCUAGCUUAGGGAUCAAGGGACGUUGGAGGCUCGUUCACACUAUCGAUUGGAUCUUUUGGGUAUAGCUAGUCUCAACAUUUUGAAUAUGACACGUAUAGGGACUUGGUCUUUUUGUUAUAUGUCAUACUGGUCUAACCAAAUGUGUUGGCUUAUAAUGGUAGUUGAAUCAUUUUGUGUAUGGCCAUGAGAUAUGGCUUAUGAUGAUUAUUGAGUUGUAAACCUAUUCAUCUAUGUAUGUAUGUGCCAAUUCCUUUAUGAUAUGGCCUAUGGAUAUUGAUGAUUGAA